UACGGAGGGGGCUAGCGUUGUUCGGAAUUACUGGGCGUAAAGCGCACGUAGGCGGCUUUGUAAGUUAGUGGUGAAAGCCCGGGGCUCAACCCCGGAAUUGCCUUUAAGACUGCAUCGCUAGAAUUGUGGAGAGGUAAGUGGAAUUCCGAGUGUAGAGGUGAAAUUCGUAGAUAUUCGGAAGAACACCAGUGGCGAAGGCGACUUACUGGACACAUAUUGACGCUGAGGUGCGAAAGCGUGGGGAGCAAACAGG
This 253-nucleotide ribosomal RNA is filed under the name uncultured bacterium. RNAcentral describes it as "partial 16S ribosomal RNA". It matches the Rfam family "Bacterial small subunit ribosomal RNA", at positions 524 to 776 of the family's 1533-position model. The record is from RNAcentral.